Molecule: ribosomal RNA, 586 nt
Filed under: uncultured bacterium
Lineage: Bacteria
Description: partial 16S ribosomal RNA
Rfam family: Bacterial small subunit ribosomal RNA
Source: RNAcentral
UGGGGAAUUUUGGACAAUGGGCGAAAGCCUGAUCCAGCAAUGCCGCGUGUGUGAAGAAGGCCUUCGGGUUGUAAAGCACUUUUGUCCGGAAAGAAAUCCUUGGCUCUAAUACAGUCGGGGGAUGACGGUACCGGAAGAAUAAGCACCGGCUAACUACGUGCCAGCAGCCGCGGUAAUACGUAGGGUGCAAGCGUUAAUCGGAAUUACUGGGCGUAAAGCGUGCGCAGGCGGUUUGCUAAGACCGAUGUGAAAUCCCCGGGCUCAACCUGGGAACUGCAUUGGUGACUGGCAGGCUAGAGUAUGGCAGAGGGGGGUAGAAUUCCACGUGUAGCAGUGAAAUGCGUAGAGAUGUGGAGGAAUACCGAUGGCGAAGGCAGCCCCCUGGGCCAAUACUGACGCUCAUGCACGAAAGCGUGGGGAGCAAACAGGAUUAGAUACCCUGGUAGUCCACGCCCCUAAACGAUGUCAACUAGUUGUUGGGGAUUCAUUUCCUUAGUAACGUAGCUAACGCGUGAAGUUGACCGCCUGGGGAGUACGGUCGCAAGAUUAAAACUCAAAUGAAUUGACGGGGUCAUAGCUGUUUCCU